RNAcentral lists this long non-coding RNA (421 nucleotides) under Parus major (Great Tit). Its description in RNAcentral is "lncRNA (ENSPMJG00000013204.1)". The record is from RNAcentral. Lineage: Eukaryota; Metazoa; Chordata; Aves; Passeriformes; Paridae.
UGUUUGGGGGACUCAGUGUUUUCCACCUUACCUCAAGCUGCUGCGCCACAGGAAUACACACCUACUGCAAACACCUGUCACAUCUGCCAGGACUAUGCAGCCAUGUGAGAUAAAUUUUUGAUAUCCAAAAUACAGAUAGAUAGGUUCCUGUGAGAUGGAAAAACUGUUUUUAACCUCUAUAUUUCAGGUUCAGUUGCUCAAACAAGGACAUCUAUUUUCAUUUGAGGUGCUCCUAUGUAACUUAUCCAGCCUCCCAGUUCCUGUAUGGGCAUUCCAUAAGUCCUUGGUCAAAUUUACCCAGUCCUGUGCAGACAGGAAGUUUCUGGAAGCAGCAGAAGACACACUGCUUGUGCUCCUUCACAGAAUUGUUACCUGGCAGUAUAAGCAUUGUGGAAGUAUGAACUUAAAGAAGAAAAGUUGA